This 587-nucleotide ribosomal RNA is filed under the name uncultured bacterium. RNAcentral describes it as "bacterial SSU rRNA". It matches the Rfam family "Bacterial small subunit ribosomal RNA", at positions 259 to 883 of the family's 1533-position model. The record is from RNAcentral.
AAUGGCUUACCAAGGCUAUGACGGGUAGGGGACCUGAGAGGGUGGCCCCCCACAAUGGAACUGAAACACGGUCCAUACACCUACGGGUGGCAGCAGUAGGGAAUAUUAGUAAUGGGCGAAAGCCUGAACUAGCAACGCCGCGUGUGCGAAGAAGGCCUUCGGGUUGUAAAGCACUUUUAGAGAGGAUGAGGAAGGACGGUACUCUCAGAAUAAGUCUCGGCUAACUACGUGCCAGCAGCCGCGGUAACACGUAUGAGGCGAACGUUAUCCGGAUUUACUGGGCGUAAAGCGCGUGUAUGUGGUUUGGUAAGUAUGGCGUGAAAGCUCCCGGCUCAACUGGGAGAGGCCGUUCUAAACUGCCAAGCUAGAGGAUGGUAGAGGGAGGUGGAAUUCCCGGGUGUAGCGGUGGAAUGCGCAGAUAUCCGGAGACACCAGUGGUCGAAGCGCCUCCUGGGCCACUCCUGACACUCAGACGCGAAAGCUAGGUAGCAAACUGGAUAAAGACCCGUAGUCUAGCUACGAUGUAGACUGCGUCGUGAUAAUCGCAUCGAGUCCCAGCUACGCGAUAGUCUACGCCUGGGGACUAC